AACCUGAAAAACAGAUUUAUGGUGAAAUUAGCUGAUAGGCUUUGCUCAGCUCCCUGGGAGUAAGUGGUCAUCAAACAAAAAUAACGAGCACAUAGGAGUUCUCAAAGAGGAAUAAAAUGGGUUUAAACACUGACUGAACUGAUUUUAACCUCUGUGAAAACUGAACUAUCCAAAAAAAAACAAUUAUUUUUGUAAAUGUGAUCCUUUAUCUGCAUUAAGUCAAUCAAUGGAAUGCUAAUUUUCCAAGUAGUAUGGAAGUCAGUACAUACAAAUUCUAAUAUGGGGCAUGCACAAUUCCUAUGUUCUGUCUUAUUACUACACCUGCUAUGCUUGUUCUUACAGGCAAUAAUGAAUUGUCCUUUGAAAAAAAAAAAUAAAUGUUAUAUUCCUGAAAUAUGUGGCAAGGGAAAAAAGAAACUAGAUGUGGGCUCAUCCAUUUCUUUCAGAUUAAAAUGUAGAUUUGCACUGCAGCUGGACAAACCCUGGCUCCAGUUUCACAAGAAGAAUUCAGCUGCUCCAUGCACGAAACUGAAGCUAAAUUGUAGUCCUGGGAUGGAACAGGGAGAAGCAUCUGGCCACUAAGAGACACUAGCAGCAAGUAAGCCCCCUUUCUCAUGCAGCCUGCUUACUUUUUCUAAAAGAGACAAGAAAAAAAGCACCACGAGUUUUGUCCAAAGCCUUUUCAGCUUUAGGAAAAAAAAAAAAAAAAAAAAAAAAAAGUCUUGUGCAGUAAGAGUCUCAGGUACCUAAGACAUUUUUUAGUAAAGAUUCCAGAAAGAAGAGCCACGGCUAUGUGUAGCACAUGCAGUCAACAAACUGCAAUUGUGCAAUCUGUUUUGCCUCUUUUAGACCCAUUGUCAGUUUUAGUGCUUUCCCUUAUCAGAAGCUAUCACCCUUAUCACGCAGGGAGAGGCAGACUCUCAGCCUUUUGUAACAGUGCUGGAAGCACUACAGGAGAAGCAGAAAAUAAUCUACUUUCACAGUCGAAGAUCAAUAAGAACAUACAAUUUUCCUUCCUUUUCUGUGUGACAACUUAAACUCUGUUCAUGUUAUUUACCCUGGCUGUGGUUAUACUUCACUGUAGACAUCAUCAGGUAGAACUGGUAUUUUAUGUCCUGGAGAGUUCACGGCAGCGUUGCAGGAGUUUAUAUUGUCAACCAUCUUGCAAGAUCUUUAGUAUUUCUGUGAAACUUGCAUAAAUACUUUUUUAAAUGGACAAUUUUCUCUCCAGUAACAUAGUGACUUGUGCUCCUCGGACUGGGUCAGGAUUACGUAUAUUCACUGAUGCUCGUUUGGACAGAAGGUUUUACAGAUUUUACAACAGUGACAAUCACCUGGCAACUCUGCUAGAAACAGCAGUCUGCAUUUCCUGUCCUAGCUCCUGAACCCUUGCUGCUGGGCCCUGUCUUUUCUUCCAUUGAAGGAGAUGGGAGCUUUGCCACUGACAGCAGGAGUGCAGACACAGAUUAGGCAAGGUGUUGGAGGAUUUUCUGCACACCCUGUAGGUAUUUAGGGAACCAUGUGCUAUGUGAUCCUAAAUACAAGCUUACGCAGUUUGAACUCUUGAGCUAAACCCAGAUAUUUCCAGGCCGGCAAAGCUACCCACUGAGUGUACGUCUGAGAAAGUACAUUCUGAAUUAUUUCUGACUGUAUUUCUGAGUUAUGCCCUGACUGUACAUCUGACUUAUUUCUUCUGGCAAGUAUCAAGAGUAUGUUAGUGAAAUGUGCCUGGAUAUAGUAGCUUAAGAUGGAGCUAUGCUGGAAAUGUUCCUGCAGCUGUUACUUGGAAAACAUCUGUGGUACUGUGCACUUGUACAUCUCUGUUCACACUGGCACAGAGCAAUUGAUCUUGUGGAACAAAGUAUAAAUUAUUGUUGGGAGAUACGAGAAGGACAUUCUGCACCGAUGAACAUGAAAUGAAUGAAGGCAGUAGUGGUUUGGAAAUAGAGGGGCAAAAAAUCCAGUGUUUCAUUGCUGGCACAGGCAGUAAAGAGCAACAUCAGCAGACUCUGUGACACCUCCAGAACUCCAAGUGCUAGCUAUCUGAGUAAGAAUAACCAAGCCACUAGCCUUGAGGCGUGACAUUUUUUACGCUUAGCCUAGAAAAAAGCUUCUGACUUUGAUAAUCGCUGACAGUCUGUGUUUGCAUAGUCUGAUAAAGGGGAGAAUAUCCAGGUUGACAUGAUGUGUUGUUUACGGUCAAUGCCUGUCCCUAUGCAAAGCAAAAAAGACAUCACCCCGAAGAAUUCAAUUCUAGCCAAAGACAUAUAAUAAGGUAUAUUUAAGAAACCCUCUACAAGGACUGUGAGAAGUAUUUUGUUUAGAGCACAUUAGUUAAUUAAGGGAUUUUUUCAUCUCUUUAGGCCUUCAAAUUAAGCCUGGGUCAUUAGAAGAUGUGCUUAAGUGAAUUCUAAUGGCCUAUUGUAUUCAAGAACUCAGACCGGAUGAUCUUUGAAAAGCAAGUGUGUGAGAAAUGGAGAAUGACUUCAGAAACAGCAGAGUGUGGGACGAUGAGAAACCAGACGAGAUAUCUGGUAGCCAGAAAUUUGUCACUGUUACUGAGCCAGGGCUCCUGCAAAGAGCCGAUGAGGUGUCAGCUGCAAUACAUGACUCACCAUGUCGUCUCCCAGUAGCCUUGAGUGAGCUCCGUGGCACAUAACGUGUACGCUUUGCUGUUUUACCUAUUUUCUCUCAUGAUACCUGCAUUGCAUCAUUAAAAAAUAGAAAUCAAGAUGGAAAUAUCUUUCUAGUGCUUUGUGGACGCUUUGUGCUAAGGGUCUUUCAUCUCAUCUUUAAUCCAAAUUAUAAAAAAUGGAUUUGCACCAUACUAAAUCUGUAAAUAAAUUUAAAAUAUCCAUUCCUAGUCCUCGAACUGAAUGCCUCCUAGCAAG
Oxyura jamaicensis (ruddy duck) is the source of this 2891-nucleotide long non-coding RNA. RefSeq lists it as uncharacterized. The transcript has 3 exons. The record is from RefSeq and is a predicted model, not a curated record. NCBI's taxonomy places the organism in Eukaryota, Metazoa, Chordata, Aves, Anseriformes, Anatidae.